GACGAACGCUGGCGGCGUGCUUAACACAUGCAAGUCGAACGAUGACGACCGAGCUUGCUCGGUCUGAUUAGUGGCGAACGGGUGAGUAACACGUGAGCAACCUGCCCUUCACUCUGGGAUAACCUCGGGAAAUCGGGGCUAAUACCGGAUAUGAGCUCCUGUCGCAUGGCGGGUGUUGGAAAGUUUUUCGGUGAAGGAUGGGCUCGCGGCCUAUCAGUUUGUUGGUGAGGUAGUGGCUCACCAAGGCGAUGACGGGUAGCCGGCCUUAGAGGGCGACCGGGCACACUGGGACUGAGAGACGGCCCAGACUCCUACGGGAGGCAGCGGGGGGGAAUAGUGCACAGUGGGCGGAAGCCUGAUGCAGCGGCGCCGCGUGAGGGAAGACGGGCUUCGGGGUGUAAACCUCUUUCAGCGGGGAAGAAGCGAAAGUGACGGUACCUGCAGAAGAAGCGCCGGCUAACUACGUG
Molecule: ribosomal RNA, 467 nt
Filed under: uncultured bacterium
Lineage: Bacteria
Description: partial 16S ribosomal RNA
Rfam family: Bacterial small subunit ribosomal RNA
Source: RNAcentral